GAUGAACGCUGGCGGCGUGCCUAAUACAUGCAAGUCGAGCGAACGGAUGAGAAGCUUGCUUCUCUGAUGUUAGCGGCGGACGGGUGAGUAACACGUGGAUAACCUACCUAUAAGACUGGGAUAACUUCGGGAAACCGGAGCUAAUACCGGAUAAUAUUUUGAACCGCAUGGUUCAAAAGUGAAAGACGGUCUUGCUGUCACUUAUAGAUGGAUCCGCGCUGCAUUAGCUAGUUGGUAAGGUAACGGCUUACCAAGGCAACGAUGCAUAGCCGACCUGAGAGGGUGAUCGGCCACACUGGAACUGAGACACGGUCCAGACUCCUACGGGAGGCAGCAGUAGGGAAUCUUCCGCAAUGGGCGAAAGCCUGACGGAGCAACGCCGCGUGAGUGAUGAAGGUCUUCGGAUCGUAAAACUCUGUUAUUAGGGAAGAACAUAUGUGUAAGUAACUGUGCACAUCUUGACGGGACCUAAUCAGAAAGCCACGGCUAACUACGU
RNAcentral lists this ribosomal RNA (496 nucleotides) under uncultured bacterium. Its description in RNAcentral is "partial 16S ribosomal RNA". It matches the Rfam family "Bacterial small subunit ribosomal RNA", at positions 28 to 506 of the family's 1533-position model. The record is from RNAcentral.